This is an RNA transcript of Capra hircus (goat), 1270 nucleotides long. It is a transcript of the gene named WNT1 inducible signaling pathway protein 3, with no coding region annotated. The transcript is spliced from 6 exons. NCBI's taxonomy places the organism in Eukaryota, Metazoa, Chordata, Mammalia, Artiodactyla, Bovidae. The record is from RefSeq and is a predicted model, not a curated record.
UCCAGGAGACAGAGGGGAGCUUUGUGCGCCGGCCUCGCAGCAUCUCCGGCUGCGCGAGGCCGGCCCGGGGCCAUGCGGGGGCCGCUGCUCUCCACGCUUCUCCUGGCCUCGCUGUGGCAGUUCUGCUGCAGGGCCCAGGGCGCUGGGCUCUCAGACACAGCAGGCGAAGGAAGUCCUGGAGAGGUGGCAGAAGGGCACCAUCGUAAGCAGUUUUGCCACUGGCCCUGUCAGUGCCCUGGUCGGAAGCCCAGCUGCCCUCCUGGAGUGAGCCUGGUGAGAGAUGGCUGCGGAUGCUGCAAAAUCUGUGCCAGGCAGCCAGGGGACACCUGCAACGAAGCUGACCUCUGUGACCCCCACAAAGGGCUGUACUGUGACUACUCAGCAGACAGGCCUAGGUACGAGACCGGAGUGUGUGCACAUCUCAUUGCUGUAGGGUGUGAGUUCAACGGGGUGCAUUAUCAAAAUGGCCAGGCGUUUCAGCCCAGUCCCCUGUUCAGCUGCCUGUGUGUCGGCGGGGCCAUUGGAUGCACACCUCUGUUCAUACCAAAGCUGGCCAACAGGCACUGCUCUGGGGCUAAAGGUGGAGAGAAGACUGAUCAGUCAAAAUGUGGCCUGGGGUCGUCACAGAAACAGCUCUCAACAAGCUACAAAACAAUGCCAGAUGCGCCAAGCUUUUACCCUGCUUCCUGCCCUGAUGUCUUUAAACUGCUGCCUGCCUUCCAGCAUAUAGGAAUCUCCCACUGAUUUGGAAAAGAAAAUGUCUUGUGCAAGCAACGAAGUGGACCCCUUGCUCCAGAACAUGUGGGAUGGGAAUAUCUAACAGAGUGACCAAUGAGAACACCAACUGUGAAAUGAGAAAAGAGAAAAGACUGUGUUACAUUCAGCCUUGUGACAGUGAUAUCUCAAAGAUAGCAAAGAUUCCCAAAGGAAAAACGUGCCAACCUACUUUCCAACCUGUCAAAGCUGAAAAAUUUGUCUUUUCUGGAUGCUCAAGCACUCAGAGUUAUAGACCCACUUUCUGUGGAAUAUGCUUGGAUAAGAGAUGCUGUGUGCCUAAUAAGUCUAAAAUGAUUACCAUUCAAUUUGACUGCCCCAAUGAAGGGUCAUUUAAAUGGAAGAUGCUGUGGAUUACAUCUUGUGUGUGUCAGAGAAACUGCAGAGAUCCAGGGGAUAUAUUUUCUGAGCUCAAGAUUCUAUAAAAUGAAGCACAAGGAGGAAAAGUUAAGGUUAAUCAUGUUAUUACAUCAAAAUUUAAAAUGGUUUUAAGAGG